UUGAAUGGUACCACAUGUAUAGUGAAUGAAAUGUAUGAAAGUGUUUCCCUUUCGUGCAGGUUAUUUGAAUAUUGAGUUCACAUUUAUAUGAUUGCAGUGCUAUGUGUUAAUUCAAUAAGACUGAAGAUAAAUACAGACUUGUGUUUUUAUGAGCGUCAAUGUUAUUUCUGUAAACAGCACAAACAAGGCAGUUUGUCUCUUCUUCAUCUGAAGUAGUUUCCAAGCCAGGUGCCAAGACAAUCACCCUUUUGGGGCAAGCUGUUCAAGAUCCGUGACCUCCGCUUACAAUAUGUACAUUCGCUGCUCAUCAAAUUGAACACUCUCCUUAUUGGCCAGAUUGAAUACGCAGGGCCCGCUACAAUGAUUUGAACCUCUGGCUGGCAGAAUGAAAUACCUCCAUCUUGGCUUCAGUCAAGCACGUCAGAUCAGUUGUGGGACCUCCCCCCACAACUCCCAGAACGCUGAAGACACUUUCUGCUUUUCUUCCACAGGUUUUCCAGCAUAUCCUCGCUUGCCCAACAGCCAAACUGCUGCUCUCCUCAAUCAAUGCUGCUACACAUGAAUUGUGUAAAACACAGGGAGUGUGUAUUGAUACGGGAAUUUUUGCAGUCAUCUACAUGAUGAGAUGCUUUUUCCCUCAGAGCAUCCGCAUGUUUAGGGAGUGGAAUUCCUCUCGGUUGAUGCAGAUAAGAACAUUUUCAGGGGUACGCAGUUUGUGUGAAGCCAAACUCAAUUUGAAAUUAAAACCUGAAACACUACAGACUUCGGCUGCCUUCGGAACUGUUCUCUCUCGGAGAAAUUAACAAAUAAUGAAGAAUGCACUUUGAAUGCCUCAAUCAACAUGCAUACUGGCCUCUGAACAAUCUCUGCUAGAAGCUUGGAUGGCCAAAGAAAAUUCAAGAGGAUUUGAUGUGAGAUUAAAACCCAGUGUUGCAGACGCCUCAUUACUUGCCAACAUCACUGAGAUUAAAACGCCUUUAAGUACCACACCAAUACAACGACACAGACCUUUUUACUGAAACACAAAAACAAAAUUGAGAAAAAAAGACACAAGGGAAAAACAAAAAAAAAAUUACAUCUACAAAGACUGCCAUGCCCCCUCCUCCACAGGAUGUAGGAAAUUGCUGCUCUAGAGAAAAGCUUCCACUAGGACAUUCUCCACACAACAGCCAGUGAUGUAAUACGCUGCAAGGACCCUGGAUCAAACAGUAUGUAUUCACCAAUCAGGAUUGACUUCGCAGACACCAGGUGCAUACAACCUUUGUAUACAGCACAGUAUUGGUAUCUGAUUCUGUACUUUGUUGUACUUUGACUACAAGACUGUAAAGUUGAUUUGAUAUUUUUCUGUACAAAGUUUAAAAAUGACAAAAUAUAUAAUGUAAAUUCUACUAAAUACAGGGUAAGAUAGGAUUUAGUGGCACAUGUAUAAAGGAUUUUAACAAAACGUUGCUACAUGCCAGAAAGCUUCAGAGUAGAUCUUCUGUUAUAUAUCAGGAAUGACAGUGGACAGACCAUGCAGGCAUUUUCAGUUUUUUAAAAAAACUCUAUGCUCCGACUGCUUUAUUAACUCCUGUCUGCUCCUGGGUUCAAACUGCUUUACAGGGCAAUAUUGAUACUGUUAACUCUAUCACUCAAAAGAACUGAAUUGGUAUAGGCAAGGUUCACUGGUGCUUGUGUUCCAGAUAACUCAUUUAUCCCUUUUUAUGGUAUGUCUGGGGUAUGCUGUAUUAGGCUGAAGCGCAAGCAUCUCAAUGUGUAUACAUGAAUAACACAUAGAAAAAGAUAACCUGUCUCUGCAUUGCUUUCAUUGGCCUUCGUCCAACUUAUUUCAGAUCAUGAGUGGAAUCUACUCUCUGACAACAGAUUUGGCCCAAAACUAAUCAAGAGCCGUGUUGACCUUCAACCCGAGAACUGAUCUUACCCAGCCCAAAAUGUGACCUGGUUCAAACCUGAGACACCAAAAGAACUCAUUCAUGUUCAACGAUCCCCAAGCCAACUAUUAAUCCUUAGAUGUAUUGGUUAGCUUACCUAUUGUUGUGGAUUUGAGAAUCGACACUCACAUGGGCCUUAACAUUUGGUGCUAAAAUUCAUAUAUGUAAUGUGCCACUGGAAAGAGGAGGUUUCAGAGAAUAUCUGGUCCAUGGAUCAGGCUGUGUGAGAGGAGUGGGACUGGGCUCACUGAUGUUAAUUGAGAAUUCAAUCAGUUUUUUUAUUUAAAUUCCUUUAUUUUCAAAAGGAAGUAACUUAUAUCAUGACAAAUAACUGCUCCAAGGUGAACUAGAGACAGAGAAGACAUUUUGCACAGUUUCAUGGCCAGCUCCAGUCUUUGUCCAAACUCCCUCUCAUUCAGAAUAUUGUUUCAUCUUUAGAAAUUCAAGAAAAUGAAAUGUGAAUUUAUCGAGUGUCUUCAAGUCUCAAGGAAUGAAUCCCAGCUACAAUCUAGACUGUGAUCCUUUUUUAAAAUCUCCCUUGAUUCCCACAGUGUCCAGGAGAGCAGAGAGGAGACAUAGGCUGGAUGCAGCAGAGGUGCUGUUUGAGGGUAUACCUUGAGCAGAAGGUUCGGUUGGGCUUAGCGUGUAUUUCAUUGCAUGGCCGCAUUUUGUUGGUGCUCAACCUUGGAGCAGUUAGAUAAGGUCAUUCAGGUAAUUCAUGUGACACAGCAUCCAUGUCUUCAUAAAUACUGCCCUAUUUGAGGAAAAAGACAAUAAUCUAUGUUUUGUAGCUCCAGCCUUGGUGGUUACCUUUCAUUUUAUAAGUGGCCUACCCACCUAAUGGCAGAUAUGUGGAGUAGUCUAUGGGCAAUACCUGAGCUUUGGUUUUCCAAACUUUGCUCAAAAUUACAAUCCUGAAACCCCAUGAAGAACCACAAUCAUCCCAACCGACAUCCAAAGCCCUGCUCAAGUUUUACCAGUCAUUGUGAUCACAGUGCACCAUUAGUGAUGACGGAAGCAAAUUAAAGUCUGAGUCCAAUUUCAUGGCAAAUACAACUAUUGAUCCUGUGUCUCAAUAACAUGGAACCAUUUCCAAUGUAAAAUGGAACUUCAGUCCAUCAAAAACAAAAGGCUUCACAUAUCGAUGACUUUAUGUACAUCUGAGAUAUCUUGGUGAGAAUUGGGGCUUGCACCCAUAUUUAUGUAACAUGAACCCUCAGAUUUCAGAAUGGGUGUGGACAUGCCUAUGGGAUUAAUUGUGCCUGAUACCAUAUUGCUCCACAUUGGAGCGCACAUUGUGUACAUCCAUCAGAAAUAUGUAGAGCAAGCAGGUCACAAUGCCAAUCAGCAUGCAACUGAUUUGAUACUAUCCAUUCCAUCUUGGAGUUUAGCACUCCACCUAAUGCUCUCUCUUAACCCAACCCUGCAGCAGCAGGAAGACAACGCACACUUUCCCCCAGCCCAACUUCACCAAAUCUCACUGUCCAACCUGCACAAUCAAUUGAAAGGAAUUAUCAACUAUUACAGGUUAGUUGCUGGUUUAGUUCUUCCAACUGUCAGCAUGAUUCUACAGGGGCUUGGGGUGCUUCCUUUUUAAUUAUUUCAAGUUGCAAUAGUCUACGGCAUGGUAGGUGCUGAAGGAAAUUUUACCAACUCUAAGACUCUUGCACAAAACCAGGCACUCCUGAACAUGAAUGCAGCAGGAUACUGGCCGUAAGAAUGCAGUAUAGCCCGAAUGGAGUCCAAACAAUGUAGGACAGAUUGCUGGAAGAGGGUGGGGAAGAGGGAAGGGAGCAAGGGCUCUCAACAGAAGGUCAUAGUCACCCCAGAGGGUGAGAGAGCAAUUUUCCUCCCUCAAAUUCAGCCAGGAACACUGUCUGAACUAUCAUAGAAAAUGUUCCUGCUCCACUAUUCAAUAUGAUCAUGGCUAAUCAUCCAAUUCAAUACCCUGUUCCUAUUUUCACCCCAUAC
This is a non-coding RNA of Chiloscyllium plagiosum (whitespotted bambooshark), 3902 nucleotides long. The record is from RefSeq and is a predicted model, not a curated record. Lineage: Eukaryota; Metazoa; Chordata; Chondrichthyes; Orectolobiformes; Hemiscylliidae.